GACGAACGCUGGCGGCGUGCUUAACACAUGCAAGUCGAGCGGUAAGGCCCUUUCGGGGGUACACGAGCGGCGAACGGGUGAGUAACACGUGGGUGACCUGCCCUCAGCUCUGGGAUAAGCCUGGGAAACCGGGUCUAAUACUGGAUAUGACUCCAUGACGCAUGUUGUGGGGUGGAAAGCCUUGUGCGGCUGAGGAUGGGCCCGCGGCCUAUCAGCUUGUUGGUGGGGUGANGGCCUACCAAGGCGACGACGGGUAGCCGGCCUGAGAGGGCGACCGGCCACACUGGGACUGAGACACGGCCCAGACUCCUACGGGAGGCAGCAGUGGGAAAUCUUGCGCAAUGGGCGAAAGCCUGACGCAGCGACGCCGCGUGAGGGAUGACGGCCUGGUUGUAACGU
RNAcentral lists this ribosomal RNA (399 nucleotides) under uncultured bacterium. RNAcentral's name for it is "bacterial SSU rRNA". It matches the Rfam family "Bacterial small subunit ribosomal RNA", at positions 28 to 431 of the family's 1533-position model. The record is from RNAcentral.